GACGAACGCUGGCGGCGUGCUUAACACAUGCAAGUCGAACGGAAAGGCCCUGCUUUUGUGGGGUGCUCGAGUGGCGAACGGGUGAGUAACACGUGAGUAACCUGCCCUUGACUUUGGGAUAACUUCAGGAAACUGGGGCUAAUACCGGAUAGGAGCUCCUGCUGCAUGGUGGGGGUUGGAAAGUUUCGGCGGUUGGGGAUGGACUCGCGGCUUAUCAGCUUGUUGGUGGGGUAGUGGCUUACCAAGGCUUUGACGGGUAGCCGGCCUGAGAGGGUGACCGGCUCCAUUGGGACGGAGAUACGACACAGACUCCUACGGGAGGCAGGACUGGAGUAUAGUGCACAAUGGGCGGAAGCAUGAUGCAGCAAAGCCGCGUGCGGGAUGACGGCCUUCCGGUAGGAAACCGCUUUCGCCCGUGACGAAGCGUGAGUGACGGUAAUGGGUAAAGAAGCACCGGCUAACUACGUG
This 468-nucleotide ribosomal RNA is filed under the name uncultured bacterium. Its description in RNAcentral is "partial 16S ribosomal RNA". It matches the Rfam family "Bacterial small subunit ribosomal RNA", at positions 28 to 507 of the family's 1533-position model. The record is from RNAcentral.